GACGAACGCUGGCGGCGUGCUUAACACAUGCAAGUCGAACGGAAAGGCCUCUUUCGGGGGGUACUCGAGUGGCGAACGGGUGAGUAACACGUGAGUAACCUGCCCUUGACUUUGGGAUAACUUCAGGAAACUGGGGCUAAUACCGGAUAGGAGCUCCUGCUGCAUGGUGGGGGUUGGAAAGUUUCGGCGGUUGGGGAUGGACUCGCGGCUUAUCAGCUUGUUGGUGGGGGAGUGGCUUACCAAGGCUUUGACGGGUAGCCGGCCUGGGAGGGGGACCGGCCACAUUGGGACUGGGAUGCGGCCCAGACUCCUACGGGAGGCAGCAGUGGGGAAAAUUGCACAAUGGGUGGAAGCCUGAUGCAGCAACGCCGUGUGCGGGAUGACGGCCUUCGGGUUGGAAACCGCUUUCGCUCAUGACGAAGCUUUGUGUGACGGUAGUGGGUAAAGAAGCACCGGCUAACUACGUG
Molecule: ribosomal RNA, 467 nt
Filed under: uncultured bacterium
Lineage: Bacteria
Description: partial 16S ribosomal RNA
Rfam family: Bacterial small subunit ribosomal RNA
Source: RNAcentral